GAUGGUGUAGCUCAGUGGUAGAGCGGUUGACUGUUAAUCAGCUGGUCAGUGGUUCGAAUCCACCCACCAUCGCCA
RNAcentral lists this transfer RNA (75 nucleotides) under Klebsiella pneumoniae. RNAcentral describes it as "tRNA-Asn". It matches the Rfam family "tRNA". Rfam says of the family: Transfer RNA (tRNA) molecules are approximately 80 nucleotides in length. Their secondary structure includes four short double-helical elements and three loops (D, anti-codon, and T loops). Further hydrogen bonds mediate the characteristic L-shaped molecular structure. tRNAs have two regions of fundamental functional importance: the anti-codon, which is responsible for specific mRNA codon recognition, and the 3' end, to which the tRNAs corresponding amino acid is attached (by aminoacyl-tRNA synthetases). tRNAs cope with the degeneracy of the genetic code in two manners: having more than one tRNA (with a specific anti-codon) for a particular amino acid; and 'wobble' base-pairing, i.e. permitting non-standard base-pairing at the 3rd anti-codon position. The record is from RNAcentral. Lineage: Bacteria; Pseudomonadati; Pseudomonadota; Gammaproteobacteria; Enterobacterales; Enterobacteriaceae. RNAcentral also lists the same sequence under 1 other name.